Molecule: ribosomal RNA, 491 nt
Filed under: uncultured bacterium
Lineage: Bacteria
Description: partial 16S ribosomal RNA
Rfam family: Bacterial small subunit ribosomal RNA
Source: RNAcentral
GUGAACGCUGGCGGUAGGCCUAACACAUGCAAGUCGAACGGCAGCACCGUAAGAGCUUGCUCUUACGGGUGGCGAGUGGCGGACGGGUGAGGAAUACAUCGGAAUCUACUUUUUCGUGGGGGAUAACGUAGGGAAACUUACGCUAAUACCGCAUACGACCUACGGGUGAAAGCAGGGGAUCUUCGGACCUUGCGCGAUUGAAUGAGCCGAUGUCGGAUUAGCUAGUUGGCGGGGUAAAGGCCCACCAAGGCGACGAUCCGUAGCUGGUCUGAGAGGAUGAUCAGCCACACUGGAACUGAGACACGGUCCAGACUCCUACGGGAGGCAGCAGUGGGGAAUAUUGGACAAUGGGCGCAAGCCUGAUCCAGCCAUACCGCGUGGGUGAAGAAGGCCUUCGGGUUGUAAAGCCCUUUUGUUGGGAAAGAAAAGCAGCAGGUUAAUACCCCGCUGUUCUGACGGUGCCCAAAGAAUAAGCACCGGCUAACUUCGUG